Molecule: ribosomal RNA, 497 nt
Filed under: uncultured bacterium
Lineage: Bacteria
Description: partial 16S ribosomal RNA
Rfam family: Bacterial small subunit ribosomal RNA
Source: RNAcentral
GAUGAACGCUGGCGGUGUGCCUAAUACAUGCAAGUCGAGCGAACAGACGAGGAGCUUACUCCUCUGACGUUAGCGGCGGACGGGUGAGUAACACGUGGAUAACCUACCUAUAAGACUGGGAUAACUUCGGGAAACCGGAGCUAAUACCGGAUAACAUGUUGAACCGCAUGGUUCAACAGUGAAAGACGGUCUUGCUGUCACUUAUAGAUGGAUCCGCGUCGCAUUAGCUAGUUGGUAAGGUAACGGCUUACCAAGGCAACGAUGCGUAGCCGACCUGAGAGGGUGAUCGGCCACACUGGAACUGAGACACGGUCCAGACUCCUACGGGAGGCAGCAGUAGGGAAUCUUCCGCAAUGGGCGAAAGCCUGACGGAGCAACGCCGCGUGAGUGAAGAAGGCCUUCGGAUCGUAAAACUCUGUUAUUAGGGAAGAACAAAUGUGUAAGUAACUAUGCACGUCUUGACGGUACCUAAUCAGAAAGCCACGGCUAACUACGUG